UACGGGGGGGGCAAGCGUUGUUCGGAAUUACUGGGCGUAAAGGGCUCGUAGGCGGCCAACUAAGUCAGACGUGAAAUCCCUCGGCUUAACCGGGGAACUGCGUCUGAUACUGGAUGGCUUGAGUUCGGGAGAGGGAUGUGGAAUUCCAGGUGUAGCGGUGAAAUGCGUAGAUAUCUGGAGGAACACCGGUGGCGAAGGCGGCAUCCUGGACCGACACUGACGCUGAGGCGCGAAGGCCAGGGGAGCAAACGGG
This 253-nucleotide ribosomal RNA is filed under the name uncultured bacterium. RNAcentral's name for it is "partial 16S ribosomal RNA". It matches the Rfam family "Bacterial small subunit ribosomal RNA", at positions 524 to 776 of the family's 1533-position model. The record is from RNAcentral.